CCUACGGGGGGCAGCAGUGAGGAAUAUUGGUCAAUGGGCGCGAGCCUGAACCAGCCAAGUAGCGUGAAGGAUGACUGCCCUACGGGUGGUAAACUUCUUUUAUAAAGGAAUAAAGUGAGGCACGUGUGCCUUUUUGUAGGUACUUUAUGAAUAAGGAACGGCUAACCUCGUGCCAGCAGCCGCGGUAAUACGGUGGAUCCGAGGGUUUUCCCGAUUUGUUGGGUUUGAAGGGAGCGUAGAGGGGUUGUUAAGUUAGUUGUGAAAGUUUGGGGGUCCACCGGAAAAUUGCAAUUGAUACUGGCGGCAUUGAGUGCAGUUGAGGUAGGCGGAAUUCGUGGUGUAGCGGUGAAAUGCUUAGAUAUCACGAAGAACUCCGAUUGCGAAGGCAGCCUACUAAACUGCCACUGACAUUGAUGCUCGAAAGUGUGGGUAUCAAACAGGAUUAGAUACCCGGGUAGUC
Molecule: ribosomal RNA, 460 nt
Filed under: uncultured bacterium
Lineage: Bacteria
Description: partial 16S ribosomal RNA
Rfam family: Bacterial small subunit ribosomal RNA
Source: RNAcentral